RNAcentral lists this unclassified non-coding RNA (220 nucleotides) under uncultured Tomentella. RNAcentral's name for it is "sequence contains ITS2". Lineage: Eukaryota; Fungi; Basidiomycota; Agaricomycetes; Thelephorales; Thelephoraceae. The record is from RNAcentral.
ACACCUCAACUCUCAUGGUUUGCCAUGACGAGCUUGGACUUUGGGGGUCUUGCUGGCCUGUUGGUCGGCUCCUCUCAAAUGAAUCAGCUUGCCAGUGUUUGGUGGCAUCACAGGUGUGAUAACUAUCUACGCUUGUCGCUGUCCGCCAGGUAACCUUCAGCGAUGGAGGUUCGCUGGAGCUCAUAGACGUCUCUCCUCAGCGAGGACAGCUUUUGAACGU